Molecule: long non-coding RNA, 601 nt
Organism: Ctenopharyngodon idella (grass carp)
Lineage: Eukaryota; Metazoa; Chordata; Actinopteri; Cypriniformes; Xenocyprididae
Exons: 3
Source: RefSeq, a predicted model, not a curated record
UAGACUGACUUUUACAGAAAAUUUGCUGAAAAAAGGGGAUGAUGUUUGGAUGAAGCCGUGGAGACGGUGUGAACAUGUACUUUAGAUGUUACAGCUGGAGUGCUCUGAGAGUGUUUAUAGUGCUGUGAGUUUAACACUUCAUGACUGAGAGCAGAACAGAACACAAUCUUCAUCAUCACACAAGACAAAAGAACAACAAUGAACACAAUCACCUUCUUCAUCUGGACUCUGACUGUGUGUAUUCAAGGUUUCAGCGGACAGGUGACUGUGACUCAAACCCCUUCUGUAAAAACGGUUCAGAUUGGUGAAUCAGUCACUAUAAACUGUAAAACAAACACAGCAGUGAGCAAUGCCUGUCCAGGUUCAUAUACUUGUAUGGCCUGGUACCAGCAGAAACCUGGAGAAACUCCUAAACUCCUCAUAUAUUAUGCAACAAGACAUCAUACAGGAACUCCAUCUAGAUUCAGUGGCAGUGGAUCCAGAACUGAUUUCACUCUGACCAUCAGUGGAGUCCAGACUGAAGAUACAGGAGAUUAUUACUGUCAGAGUGCACACUCUAUCAACAGUAAAUAUGUGUUCACACAGUGAUAAAGAGUGGUAC